UAGGGAAAAUAAUUUACACCAAUAUCUAAAAACUUAAUAUGUCAAGUUUCCCUAGCGGAAAAUUUAAUAUUCAUUUAAUUUAUUGAGGUUAUCUAUUAGAAUAUGUUUUGAACUAUAUAUUAUUAAUACAUAUAAUAUUUUAUGUUCCUAUUUCACUUUUAACUUGAUGUAUAAACAUAGACAUCAGUGCCACUGAAUUGAACUAAAACUACCUAUGUUUAAUAAUAUAUUCACUGUAUAAUAUUUUGAAGGUGAAUGUAGAUACUUUUAUGAUAAAAUCAAAAUUAAAUACUUGUAUGGUGUUUGACAAGUGAAUGCACAUCAAUAAUCUAUUUAUAUAAUUGAAUACCUCUUCUAGUUUUAUCUAAUAUAUCUUAAAUGUUUAAGUAGAUUUGAUUUUAAUUUCUAAAAAUAGUUACCUUUAGUACUCUAGUAUUAAUUUAUGUAAAUUUAUCA
Non-coding RNA from Cinara cedri, 456 nucleotides. NCBI's taxonomy places the organism in Eukaryota, Metazoa, Arthropoda, Insecta, Hemiptera, Aphididae. The record is from the annotation of a GenBank genome assembly.